Molecule: ribosomal RNA, 458 nt
Filed under: uncultured bacterium
Lineage: Bacteria
Description: SSU rRNA
Rfam family: Bacterial small subunit ribosomal RNA
Source: RNAcentral
AGAACGAACGCUGGCGGCAGGCCUAACACAUGCAAGUCGAACGCCGUAGCAAUACGGAGUGGCAGACGGGUGAGUAACGCGUGGGAACAUACCCUUCGGUUCGGAAUAACUCAGGGAAACUUGAGCUAAUACCGGAUACGUCCGAGGUUUUAAUCGACCUUGGAGAAAGAUUUAUCGCCGGAGGAUUGGCCCGCGUCUGAUUAGCUUGUUGGUGAGGUAAUGGCUCACCAAGGCGACGAUCAGUAGCUGGUCUGAGAGGAUGAUCAGCCUCACUGGGACUGAGACACGGCCCAGACUCCUACGGGAGGCAGCAGUGGGGAAUAUUGGACAAUGGGCGCAAGCCUGAUCCAGCCAUGCCGCGUGGGUGAUGAAGGCCCUAGGGUUGUAAAGCCCUUUCGGCGGGGAAGAUAAUGACGGUACCCGCAGAAGAGCCCGGCUAACUUCGUGCCAGCAGCCGC